This 1895-nucleotide ribosomal RNA is filed under the name Triticum aestivum (bread wheat). RNAcentral's name for it is "partial small subunit ribosomal RNA". The record is from RNAcentral. Lineage: Eukaryota; Viridiplantae; Streptophyta; Magnoliopsida; Poales; Poaceae.
GGGGAAAGGAGGAGGAGGGAAGGUCAGAUGAGGAGGAGGAGGAGGAGAGAGGGUUUAGUGGCUGGGCAGCGCUUUAGCCGUCUAAACGAGGCGCCCUCGCGCAGCUGCUGCCCAGCUACCGGCGGCGGCGGCGCAAGAGGUAGUCCCUCAUGCGCCGCUCGCACUCCCCGUUCGGUCGCCGCCUCCCCGCCGCAGAGAACCCUUAGCUCCUAGACGGCGGAGAGCCCCGCGGCUCCACGGCCACCACCCGCCUACUCGACCGGAGGUGGCACCGACGGCGUCGACGCCGCCGCAGGCGCUCCUCCCGCGGUCCCUUCCGCUCCGGCGGCUUCUUCGCCAGGUAGAGGCUGGAGAAGCGGCGCCGCGGGGGGAACGGGCACGGGGGCCGGCCACUAUGGCCCACGUUUCUCGUUUGCCUCCACCUGCCGCUGCUCCGCGACACGCGCUAGCGCUCCGCCCGGUUCCUCCUCUUCUUUGCUUUCUCUUUCGACGUUCUUCUCCUCCCCGUCUUCCUCCUCUGCCGCCGUCACCUACGGCGCGGCCUCUCGUCGGCUCCGGCUCUCGGGCUCCCCUUAAAGCGACGUUCUUUCCUUCGUGAACUUUUAGGUUUGGACAAACUACCUGACCUAUGAUUGAGUAAUGUCUUUGGACUCCGAAGUGUUGUAGUGUCUCUUCUCUCUCUUUUCUAUAGACUCUCUUCCUUCGUACCCUUCUAGUUAUUAUAUUUAUUCUUCUUCCGAUUGUGUGUUUUCGUGUAGCCGUUGUACUUUUACCAGUUCCUCUUUGCACCGUUAAGUCUUCCGGUCCUUCAUUAUCUUGAGACGGCGUUUAGUCACUCUGCACAGUUUAAGAGUCUUCGUCUACGAUAUGAACUCGAUGGUCUUGCUGUUUCAGAGACGUUCUACAAAAGUCUACGAUACCGAAGAAGUAGCAGUAGGAGCAGUAGUAGUAGUAGUAAGUGCAGAUGGCUUCCUCUGUUUACGUAUUGACGUCUUUCACCAUCAAGAGUAUACGGGUACCUUCGAAGGUGAUUCAGUCUUCGUUUAUUCUUAAGUCUAGUACUCCUAAGAGGACUGUUUUCGUAUUGACGUCUUUCACCAUGAAGAGUAUAAGGGUACCUUCGAAAGUGAUUCUGCUUUCUUCGUUUAUUCUUAAGUCUAGUACUCCUAAGAGGACUCCGACCAUUGUUUCUCUACAGUCGAGGAGAGUAACUAGACUUAUACCGCAAUGGCCUUAGAUGACUUGACCUGGUUUCCGAUCUUUCGUUUGUUAGAUGACGACUGAACCUUUCUUAUUGCUUAAGUUCAAGCCGUCCGUGUAAUAACGUACCUGACUGUCAAGCAAACUACCCAUUUCUAGAAGGUCAAACGUGCUGGUCUCGACUUAGCUAAAGGCUCUGACGCGUCUUCGUAUGUCCUAUGAAGUACGAAGUUGUAUAGUACGUUCGGGUUCAGUCCGUACCUGAUGUGUACUAAUGCCGGUGGGACAAGGUCGUCGAUUACAUGAAAGACCUCUAGUCAACGGUAUACUUUUGUCUACCGUAGUUAGAACUGCUGUACGCACCUACCACCUAAUUCGUGGUCAUGUAGGGUUGAGGCCAGGAGGUGGCCGGCGAGUGGUGCUGCCUCUGGCUGCGUACCGCAGAGGUGACGUUCUUACGGUACCACGUGGCCGAGUGGUAGCUCGUCAACCUCGCGUUCUGACACCGCCUACUCUGCUGAUUUCGGUUCCGGCGAACCGACCGCUUCCUCGUUGUUACAGACCAGGUAGGCGACUGGCCGUAGUAGAGGAGGAGGCUACUGAGGCAGCCGUGGCGGGAGGCGGCGGUUACGGAUGUGCCUACCCAUGUCAGCGUGGCCCUGGCGUUCUCCUUUCCCGAUCGCUCCUUUACCACU